Molecule: RNA transcript, 1522 nt
Organism: Archocentrus centrarchus (flier cichlid)
Lineage: Eukaryota; Metazoa; Chordata; Actinopteri; Cichliformes; Cichlidae
Gene: copz2
Gene name: COPI coat complex subunit zeta 2
Exons: 10
Source: RefSeq, a predicted model, not a curated record
GCUGAUCUCGGCGUGACAGCUCAGAGCUGUCCACGUCAACACACCGAGCGAGCGGAGCCGCGGCAGCAGCAGCAGCAGCAAUGGACUCCACGUCUCCGGAACCUUCCCUCUACACAGUAAAGGCUGUUUUUAUUCUUGACAAUGAUGGCAACAGACUUUUGUCAAAGUACUAUGACCCAGAGCUUUACCCCUCCAUGAAGGAGCAGAAAAACUUUGAGAGGAAUGUUUUCAACAAGACGCACAAAGCAGACAAUGAGAUAGCGUUUCUGGAAGGGAUGACCAUCGUGUACAAGAGCAGUAUAGAUCUCUUCUUCUAUGUUGUGGGAAGUGCUCAGGAAAAUGAGCUCAUGCUGAUGUCAGUACUUAACUGCCUGUUUGACUCCCUCAGUCACAUCCUCAGGAAAAAUGUGGAGCGGAGGUGUUUAUUGGACAAUAUGGAAGGAGUGUUUCUCAUUGUGGAUGAAAUCAUUGAUGGGGGGGUGAUUCUGGAGAGUGACCCACAGCAGGUCCUACAGAAGGUCAAUUAUAGGCUAAUGUCAGAGCCAGCCUAUGGCUUCGUCCUGUUUGAUUACAUCACCGGUAACCUAGAGGCACAAACAGACAGGAGCCAGCUGCUGUAGACAGACCAAGGGCGGAUGAGAACCCAUUAACUGAACAAAGUGUGGCCCAGGUUUUGCAGUCAGCCAAGGAGCAGAUCAAAUGGUCUAUACUGAAAUGACUGAAAAAAAAGAGUUUCUCCAAAAAGAAUGAUUCCAGUCCCAAAGCUGUUUUUACAGGAAGGAUGUUACUGAGGUGAUGGCCAACAGGCUGCCUUAUACAGCAACUCACCAGCCGGGAAAAUAAGCGAUCUGGUUUGUUUCUGUGACAGCAUUUUUUCUAUUGUGUGUGACUAUAUUUAAUUUGUUUGGGAGUGAACUUUGCCCAUACUUGUGUAGAAAUGUCAUUCAGCAGGCCAAAAACAAUGUAACAGCCAGGCAGCUAUCCAGUACCAGCCUUAUCAAAAGAAGUCUGAUCUGAUCAUGACUUUAUUUGGUUUAUUUGAUGUAUUUUGCUUUAAAAAAAAAAAGAAGAAGAAGAAAAAUACGCUGAAAAUCUUCUUUUUUUGUGCGACAGUGUUACACAUCCAGAUUAUUUUGUACUAUGUUAACAACACUACAAGAAUACACAAGAUAAUACUCAAAGUUUGUUGUUUUGAAUGUCAGCUGACUCCUCCCACUUAUGUUUUCCAUAAUGCUUAUUUGAAGCCUGAAAGCAAACGCAGUGAUGCUUUCUGACACUGCUGCUUUGUGACACUGUGUUACUGCUGCAGAAAAAAGGAAUUGAAUGAAAAUCUGUACGUGGGAAUGCAUUUUAGAGGCAAUGGGAUUGUGCAGGAUUUUGUGGCCAAAGUUACAAAGAAUAUUAUUUUUUUGUUAAUAAUUAAAGAUUUUAAAAGAGAAAAAGGCCAAAGAGAAACGAAUUAUUUUGCUUACAUAUGAAUGUUGUUAAAGCAAAGAUACUUUUUCUGUUUGCCAGUUUGUGA